Molecule: RNA transcript, 1857 nt
Organism: Prunus dulcis (almond)
Lineage: Eukaryota; Viridiplantae; Streptophyta; Magnoliopsida; Rosales; Rosaceae
Gene name: transcription factor E2FC
Exons: 14
Source: RefSeq, a predicted model, not a curated record
ACUCAUCCGCGUACGUUUCCCGCUGUUGCGUCACUUGAUUGACGGCGCUUACUCUCUCUCUCUCGCUCUCGCUUUGCGCUUCGAGUUUGAUUUGUCUUUGGUUUCCUUUUCCAUUUCUGAAAUGCCAUUAAAACACAAACACAAAAUUAGAGAGUAAUUAAAAACACGUAAAUAUAUAUAUAAUAAUCUCUCAAAAUCCAUCCCAGUCGAUUUUCCCCUUUCCCUCCAACACUCAAAAACCUACCUCUUUCUCUCACAUCCUUCAAUUCUGCUUCUCUCCCGCUUACCCAUGGAGAUGGAGGAUCCGAAUCGCCUUCUUCGACCGUCUCAAUUCGAGUUCCAGCUGCUGCACUCUCAUUCACAGACUCAGAAUCAUCAGAACCAUCCGAGCUAUCUGCUUCCGUCUUUGCCUUCCUCUCAACGUCUUCUUCCCCACUCAUUUCCUGCUUUCGCUCCUUCCAUCGACUCCGGCCACCACUGCCUCUCCGAUAGCGCUUUUGCUUCUCACGCGGACGCCCAUUAUGCUUUUGCUAAGCUGGCGUUGAGACCAAAGAAGGAAAUAGAUGAUGCGGCUCAGAUUGGUGGGCAUGAAGCUGCUGCUGGACCGAGCAAGGUACUUCAGGAUCCGUCGUUAUCUAUACCACAGUCCUGCACGGGUAGAAAACAUAACCCUAAGUCAAAGGUUCCUAAGCAUACGAAAGCUGGGACUCAAAGAUCAACUGCGGAUUCUCAUAAUGGUCUGAAUCCAGCUAUUGGUUGCCGCUAUGACAGCUCUUUAGGCUUGUUAACCAAGAAGUUUGUUAGUUUAAUUCAGGAGGCCAAGGAUAGAACCCUUGAUUUGAACAAAACGGCAGAGGUGUUGGAGGUUCAAAAGCGGAGGAUAUAUGAUAUUACGAAUGUUCUUGAAGGAAUAAAUUUGAUAGAGAAAACUUCAAAGAAUCAUAUACGCUGGAAGUGUUAUGAUGGGUCGACACCAGGGGAACUAGAUGAUCAAGUUUCUAGAAUACAGGAUGAAGUUGAAAGUUUAUAUGCUGAAGAAUGCAGGCUUGAUGAUGCUAUAAGGGAAAAGCUAGAGCUUCUGAGGGCCCUGGAGGAAGAUGAAAAGAAUAAAAAGUUCCUAUUUUUGACGGAGGAAGAUAUUUUGAGCCCUCGUUGCUUCCAGAAUCAAACACUUAUUGCAAUAAAAGCUCCCCAAGCUAGUUAUAUUGAAGUUAUUGAUCCUGAUGAUGAGGAGGAUACUUGUUUUCCCCAAAAGCAGUUUAGAAUGAUCGUCAGAAGCACUAUAGGACCUAUACAUUUGUACCUUUUGAGCAAAUACCACGGGCAACGUGAGAAUAUUGCUGUUAAGCAAGCUAAAUCAAUGGGUUCAUCUUCUUGGAAUAGUAGUGAUUAUUCCAGAGUGGAAGGCGGAGGGCUUUCUUCAUACCAUCAGGGUAAUAAAAAGGACAGUUCUGAAAUUCUAAGCUUACCAGGCUCAGAGGCAUCUUCUGGGAUUCAGAAGAUUAUUCCUUCACACGUCAAUGCCAAUGACGAUUAUUGGUUUAGAUCAGAGCAUGAAGUCAGCCUGACAGAUCUAUGGGCGAAUGAGGACUGGACCCAGAGCAAAUAACCUCUCCUUCAAGACAAUUCUGGGAAGAGUGGUGCAGCAUUGGCCAAUGGACAUUGACCGUAGUGUAAAUGGGAAUCAGUAAAAUCCAUAGUUGCUGCUGGAAAUUUGUUACAACGUACGGCGAGGAUGCCAUUUAGAUGGCUGCCUAUAACCAUCUAAUCUAUGCAACCUAUGUGGGUCAUGUGAAGGCAGACGAAUAACCGGUUUCAGUCAAACCAGACCCUCAUUUGGCAAUUUUAGGCCCUAUU